GACCUAAUGGCAAAUUGGUAUCGUGCCCGCGCGUUGUGUGUCUUAAUGUCGGUAUAGUUUUUCAGCGGAAGUCCUGGUUCGACUCCAGGUUAGCUCA
Mycena latifolia is the source of this 97-nucleotide non-coding RNA. NCBI's taxonomy places the organism in Eukaryota, Fungi, Basidiomycota, Agaricomycetes, Agaricales, Mycenaceae. The record is from the annotation of a GenBank genome assembly.